CCUACGGGUGACAGCAGUGAGGAAUAUUGGUCAAUGGACGCGAGUCUGAACCAGCCAAGUAGCGUGAAGGAUGACUGCCCUAUGGGUUGUAAACUUCUUUUAUAUGGGAAUAAAAUGUUCCACGUGUGGGUUUUUGUAUGUACCAUAUGAAUAAGGAUCGGCUAACUCCGUGCCAGCAGCCGCGGUAAUACGGAGGAUCCGAGCGUUAUCCGGAUUUAUUGGGUUUAAAGGGAGCGUAGGUGGAUUGUUAAGUCAGUUGUGAAAGUUUGCGGCUCAACCGUAAAAUUGCAGUUGAAACUGGCAGUCUUGAGUACAGUAGAGGUGGGCGGAAUUCGUGGUGUAGCGGUGAAAUGCUUAGAUAUCACGAAGAACUCCGAUUGCGAAGGCAGCUCACUGAACUGCAACUGACACUGAGGCUCGAAAGUGUGGGUAUCAAACAGGAUUAGAUACCCUAGUAGUC
This 460-nucleotide ribosomal RNA is filed under the name uncultured bacterium. RNAcentral describes it as "partial 16S ribosomal RNA". It matches the Rfam family "Bacterial small subunit ribosomal RNA", at positions 338 to 795 of the family's 1533-position model. The record is from RNAcentral.